UGGGGAUGACGUCAAGUCAGCAUGACCUUUACUAUCCAGGGCUACACACACGCUACAAUGGUCAGUACAAUAGGUUGCCAAGCCGCGAGGCGGAGCCAAUCCUAAAAAGCUGGCCUCAGUUCAGAUUGCAGUCUGCAACUCGACUGCAUGAAGUUGGAGUUGCUAGUAAUUGCAGAUCAGCAUGCUGCAGUGAAUACGUUCCCGGGCCUU
Molecule: ribosomal RNA, 210 nt
Filed under: uncultured Anaerolineaceae bacterium
Lineage: Bacteria; Bacillati; Chloroflexota; Anaerolineae; Anaerolineales; Anaerolineaceae
Description: partial 16S ribosomal RNA
Rfam family: Bacterial small subunit ribosomal RNA
Source: RNAcentral